AUUCCUGGGGUGCCGUACGGCUGAGAAAGUUUUUACUUACCCAUUACCUGAUCUGGAUAAUGCCAGCGUAGGGAGUGAACAAAUA
Molecule: non-coding RNA, 85 nt
Filed under: human gut metagenome
Description: TPP riboswitch (THI element)
Rfam family: TPP riboswitch aptamer (THI element) (bases 5-75)
About the family: Vitamin B(1) in its active form thiamin pyrophosphate (TPP) is an essential coenzyme that is synthesised by coupling of pyrimidine and thiazole moieties in bacteria. The previously detected thiamin-regulatory element, thi box was extended, resulting in a new, highly conserved RNA secondary structure, the THI element, which is widely distributed in eubacteria and also occurs in some archaea. Analysis of operon structures identified a large number of new candidate thiamin-regulated genes, mostly transporters, in various prokaryotic organisms.
Source: RNAcentral